GGCGGCGUGCUUAACACAUGCAAGUCGAACGGUGAAGCCAAGCUUGCUUGGUGGAUCAGUGGCGAACGGGUGAGUAACACGUGAGCAACCUGCCCUGGACUCUGGGAUAAGCGCUGGAAACGGCGUCUAAUACUGGAUAUGAGCCUCUUCCGCAUGGUGGGGGUUGGAAAGAUUUUUUGGUCUGGGAUGGGCUCGCGGCCUAUCAGCUUGUUGGUGAGGUAAUGGCUCACCAAGGCGUCGACGGGUAGCCGGCCUGAGAGGGUGACCGGCCACACUGGGACUGAGACACGGCCCAGACUCCUACGGGAGGCAGCAGUGGGGAAUAUUGCACAAUGGGCGAAAGCCUGAUGCAGCAACGCCGCGUGAGGGAUGACGGCCUUCGGGUUGUAAACCUCUUUUAGCAGGGAAGAAGCGAAAGUGACGGUACCUGCAGAAAAAGCGCCGGCUAACUACGUGCCAGCAGCCGCGGUAAUACGUAGGGCGCAAGCGUUAUCCGGAAUUAUUGGGCGUAAAGAGCUCGUAGGCGGUUUGUCGCGUCUGCUGUGAAAUCCCGAGGCUCAACCUCGGGCCUGCAGUGGGUACGGGCAGACUAGAGUGCGGUAGGGGAGAUUGGAAUUCCUGGUGUAGCGGUGGAAUGCGCAGAUAUCAGGAGGAACACCGAUGGCGAAGGCAGAUCUCUGGGCCGUAACUGACGCUGAGGAGCGAAAGGGUGGGGAGCAAACAGGCUUAGAUACCCUGGUAGUCCACCCCGUAAACGUUGGGAACUAGUUGUGGGGACCAUUCCACGGUUUCCGUGACGCAGCUAACGCAUUAA
This 814-nucleotide ribosomal RNA is filed under the name Microbacterium sp. RKEM 1514. RNAcentral's name for it is "bacterial SSU rRNA". It matches the Rfam family "Bacterial small subunit ribosomal RNA", at positions 38 to 863 of the family's 1533-position model. Lineage: Bacteria; Bacillati; Actinomycetota; Actinomycetes; Micrococcales; Microbacteriaceae. The record is from RNAcentral.